RNAcentral lists this ribosomal RNA (2755 nucleotides) under Vibrio parahaemolyticus. Its description in RNAcentral is "bacterial LSU rRNA". It matches the Rfam family "Bacterial large subunit ribosomal RNA". Lineage: Bacteria; Pseudomonadati; Pseudomonadota; Gammaproteobacteria; Vibrionales; Vibrionaceae. The record is from RNAcentral.
UGAAUACAUAGGGUAAGGAGGCGAACCGGGGGAACUGAAACAUCUAAGUACCCCGAGGAAAAGAAAUCAACCGAGAUUCCGAAAGUAGCGGCGAGCGAAAUUGGACUAGCCCUUAAGCUUUACACGCGUUAGACGAACGGUCUGGAAAGUCCGACGAUACAGGGUGAUAGUCCCGUAGUUGACGACGUGUGUUCAGUGAAAUCGAGUAGGGCGGGACACGUGAUAUCCUGUCUGAAUAUGGGGGGACCAUCCUCCAAGGCUAAAUACUACUGACUGACCGAUAGUGAACCAGUACCGUGAGGGAAAGGCGAAAAGAACCCCUGUGAGGGGAGUGAAAUAGAACCUGAAACCGUGUACGUACAAGCAGUAGGAGCAGGCUUUGUCCUGUGACUGCGUACCUUUUGUAUAAUGGGUCAGCGACUUAUAUUCAGUGGCAAGGUUAACCAUCUAGGGGAGCCGUAGGGAAACCGAGUCUUAACUGGGCGUUCAGUCUCUGGAUAUAGACCCGAAACCAGGUGAUCUAGCCAUGGGCAGGUUGAAGGUUGAGUAACAUCAACUGGAGGACCGAACCGACUAAUGUUGAAAAAUUAGCGGAUGACUUGUGGCUAGGGGUGAAAGGCCAAUCAAACCUGGAGAUAGCUGGUUCUCCCCGAAAGCUAUUUAGGUAGCGCCUCGGACGAAUACUACUGGGGGUAGAGCACUGUUAAGGCUAGGGGGUCAUCCCGACUUACCAACCCUUUGCAAACUCCGAAUACCAGUAAGUACUAUCCGGGAGACACACGGCGGGUGCUAACGUCCGUCGUGGAGAGGGAAACAACCCAGACCGCCAGCUAAGGUCCCAAAUUACUACUAAGUGGGAAACGAUGUGGGAAGGCUCAGACAGCCAGGAUGUUGGCUUAGAAGCAGCCAUCAUUUAAAGAAAGCGUAAUAGCUCACUGGUCGAGUCGGCCUGCGCGGAAGAUGUAACGGGGCUAAGUAGUAAACCGAAGCUGCGGCAAUGUGCUUUUGCACAUUGGGUAGGGGAGCGUUCUGUAAGCGGUUGAAGGUGUGUGGUAACGCAUGCUGGACGUAUCAGAAGUGCGAAUGCUGACAUGAGUAACGAUAAAGGGGGUGAAAAACCUCCUCGCCGGAAGACCAAGGGUUCCUGUCCAACGUUAAUCGGGGCAGGGUAAGUCGACCCCUAAGGCGAGGCCGAAAGGCGUAGUCGAUGGGAAACGGGUUAAUAUUCCCGUACUUCUUACAAUUGCGAUGGGGGGACGGAGAAGGCUAGGUGGGCCUGGCGACGGUUGUCCAGGUUCAAGUGCGUAGGCUUGAGAGUUAGGUAAAUCCGGCUCUUUUUAAGGCUGAGACACGACGUCGAGCAUCUACGGAUGUGAAGUCAUUGAUGCCAUGCUUCCAGGAAAAGCCUCUAAGCUUCAGAUUGUAAGGAAUCGUACCCCAAACCGACACAGGUGGUCGGGUAGAGAAUACCAAGGCGCUUGAGAGAACUCGGGUGAAGGAACUAGGCAAAAUGGUACCGUAACUUCGGGAGAAGGUACGCUCUCGACGGUGAAGUCCCUCGCGGAUGGAGCUAUUGAGAGUCGCAGAUACCAGGUGGCUGCAACUGUUUAUUAAAAACACAGCACUGUGCAAAAUCGUAAGAUGACGUAUACGGUGUGACGCCUGCCCGGUGCCGGAAGGUUAAUUGAUGGGGUUAGACUUCGGUCGAAGCUCUUGAUCGAAGCCCCGGUAAACGGCGGCCGUAACUAUAACGGUCCUAAGGUAGCGAAAUUCCUUGUCGGGUAAGUUCCGACCUGCACGAAUGGCGUAAUGAUGGCCACGCUGUCUCCACCCGAGACUCAGUGAAAUUGAAAUCGCUGUGAAGAUGCAGUGUACCCGCGGCUAGACGGAAAGACCCCGUGAACCUUUACUACAGCUUGGCACUGAACAUUGACCCUACAUGUGUAGGAUAGGUGGGAGGCUUUGAAGCACGUACGCCAGUAUGUGUGGAGCCGUCCUUGAAAUACCACCCUUGUAGUGUUGAUGUUCUAACGUCGACCCCUUAUCGGGGUUGCGGACAGUGCCUGGUGGGUAGUUUGACUGGGGCGGUCUCCUCCCAAAGAGUAACGGAGGAGCACGAAGGUGGGCUAAUCACGGUUGGACAUCGUGAGGUUAGUGCAAUGGCAUAAGCCCGCUUGACUGCGAGAAUGACAAUUCGAGCAGGUGCGAAAGCAGGUCAUAGUGAUCCGGUGGUUCUGAAUGGAAGGGCCAUCGCUCAACGGAUAAAAGGUACUCCGGGGAUAACAGGCUGAUACCGCCCAAGAGUUCAUAUCGACGGCGGUGUUUGGCACCUCGAUGUCGGCUCAUCACAUCCUGGGGCUGAAGUCGGUCCCAAGGGUAUGGCUGUUCGCCAUUUAAAGUGGUACGCGAGCUGGGUUUAGAACGUCGUGAGACAGUUCGGUCCCUAUCUGCCGUGGGCGUUGGAAGAUUGAAGGGGGCUGCUCCUAGUACGAGAGGACCGGAGUGGACGAACCUCUGGUGUUCGGGUUGUGUCGCCAGACGCAUUGCCCGGUAGCUAAGUUCGGAAUCGAUAACCGCUGAAAGCUAUCUAAGCGGGAAGCGAGCCCUGAGAUGAGUCUUCCCUGAUACUUUAAGUAUCCUAAAGGGUUGUCGGAGACUACGACGUUGAUAGGUCAGGUGUGUAAGUGCUGUGAGGCAUUGAGCUAACUGAUACUAAUUGCCCGUGAGGCUUAACCAUACAACACCCAAGGGGUUU